RNAcentral lists this ribosomal RNA (500 nucleotides) under uncultured bacterium. RNAcentral describes it as "bacterial SSU rRNA". It matches the Rfam family "Bacterial small subunit ribosomal RNA", at positions 898 to 1398 of the family's 1533-position model. The record is from RNAcentral.
AACUCAAAGGAAUUGACGGGGACCCGCACAAGCGGUGGAGCACGUGGUUUAAUUCGAAGCAACGCGAAGAACCUUACCAAGUCUUGACAUCCCCCUGACCGCACCUUAACCGGUGCCUUCCUUCGGGACAGGGGAGACAGGUGGUGCAUGGUUGUCGUCAGCUCGUGUCGUGAGAUGUUGGGUUAAGUCCCGCAACGAGCGCAACCCCUAUCCUUAGUAGCCAGCGGUUCGGCCGGGCACUCUGAGGAGACUGCCAGGGAUAACCUGGAGGAAGGCGGGGAUGACGUCAAAUCAUCAUGCCCCUUAUGAUUUGGGCUACACACGUGCUACAAUGGCGUAAACAAAGGGAAGCGAGAGGGUGACCUGGAGCAAAUCCCAAAAAUAACGUCCCAGUUCGGACUGUAGUCUGCAACCCGACUACACGAAGCUGGAAUCGCUAGUAAUCGCGGAUCAGAAUGCCGCGGUGAAUACGUUCCCGGGUCUUGUACACACCGCCCGUC